Molecule: transfer RNA, 61 nt
Filed under: Vibrio anguillarum
Lineage: Bacteria; Pseudomonadati; Pseudomonadota; Gammaproteobacteria; Vibrionales; Vibrionaceae
Description: tRNA-Met
Rfam family: tRNA
About the family: Transfer RNA (tRNA) molecules are approximately 80 nucleotides in length.
Source: RNAcentral
GUGGAGCAGCUUGGUAGCUCGUCGGGCUCAUAACCCGAAGGUCGUUGGUUCAAAUCCAGAU